UACAGAGGUCUCAAGCGUUGUUCGGAGUCAUUGGGCGUAAAGGGUGCGUAGGCGGCGCGGUAAGUCGGGUGUGAAAUCUCGGAGCUUAACUCCGAAACUGCAUUCGAUACUGCCGUGCUUGAGGACUGGAGAGGAGACUGGAAUUUACGGUGUAGCGGUGAAAUGCGCAGAUAUCAGGAGGAACACCGGUGGCGAAGGCGGGUCGCUGGGCCGAUACUGACGCUGAGGAGCGAAAGCGUGGGGAGCAAACAGG
RNAcentral lists this ribosomal RNA (253 nucleotides) under uncultured bacterium. Its description in RNAcentral is "partial 16S ribosomal RNA". It matches the Rfam family "Bacterial small subunit ribosomal RNA", at positions 524 to 776 of the family's 1533-position model. The record is from RNAcentral.